UGUCUCAUCUCGAUCCCCAUACCGCACAAGUGUGAUAAGCAAGUGCGAUGAAUUCUAGAUUUCAGAAUGUUGCUCCAGACGCAUUCAUUUGAUCUAGCUAAAGUGACGAGAUCAUAUACCAGCUGCAAACAUGCCUACAAGGAUAGACGUACUUAACGGACAUCAAGUCAACAUUCUUGAAGGGUGUGCCGCCCCUGUUGGACGGUUUGGACACUCCUGUUGGACGGUUCGGUACACCGGCGAAUAGCCAAUCAAUCUGUCUUGGACUGGAGCACGACAGAUCAUUCGGUUCGUAGGAUUCACUUCCCUAUAAGAGUUCCUUAGAACAAGAAAACACGGCACAAUAAUGAAUCUAAACUCGAUCGUUGUCUCAAAUCAUUUCCAUUUCAUGAGAUUAAUCCAGAUUACUCCUGAGACUGGAAGUUCUUGGUCCAGUAUACUAGUUUGG
Molecule: long non-coding RNA, 448 nt
Filed under: Malus domestica (apple)
Lineage: Eukaryota; Viridiplantae; Streptophyta; Magnoliopsida; Rosales; Rosaceae
Description: long non-coding RNA (MDOM_LNC009499)
Source: RNAcentral